Molecule: long non-coding RNA, 591 nt
Organism: Eurytemora carolleeae
Lineage: Eukaryota; Metazoa; Arthropoda; Copepoda; Calanoida; Temoridae
Exons: 2
Source: RefSeq, a predicted model, not a curated record
GAAGUCAUGUAUAGUUCAUAUGAACAAUAAUUCAAGCGACCAAUAGUUCAAACAAACAAUAGUUCAAACGUCAGUUGUUCAAACAAAUCUCCACCCCUCAUUAUGUAAUUAACGUUUUGGACUCUAAUCGGGUUUUCUUGUCAUGUAAUAUUGUCUUAAACUAUAUUUGAAAUUUAAUUUUAAAUUCAUGACUUGGUCAACAAAACUGAGAAAUUUAAAGCAAAGUUUAUUUGUGCUGAAUCUUAGAUCCACAAGGAGGCAUACGAAUAUCCAUGUAGAGGAGUGGGAAAAAUAGUUAUAGCAUUUUUCGGAUUAAAGGCUCUCUCUAUGAUUCGUUCGCCUGAAUACUCACCAUGAAAAUAGGGCCGCACGGUGGGUGUUCUACGAAUUAAUAGAUGUCGUAUUCAUAGAGAGGUUGCGUGACUUAACUUCCGGGAUUUGGCUUUCACUCGUUAAUAUCUCUCGUGUUUUACAAAUUUUCCUCAGUUUAAUAUAAAUUGUGAAACAGUAAUAGCCGGAAAAAAUUAGAAUCUGUUUUCUGUUUGUUUACUGUAUGUCUACUGGAUGACAUAAAUAAAUCUAAGGCACAUA